GAUGAACGCUGGCGGCGUGCCUAAUACAUGCAAGUCGAGCGAACAGACGAGGAGCUUGCUCCUCUGACGUUAGCGGCGGACGGGUGAGUAACACGUGGAUAACCUACCUAUAAGACUGGGAUAACUUCGGGAAACCGGAGCUAAUACCGGAUAAUAUAUUGAACCGCAUGGUUCAAUAGUGAAAGACGGUUUUGCUGUCACUUAUAGAUGGAUCCGCGCCGCAUUAGCUAGUUGGUAAGGUAACGGCCUACCAAGGCGACGAUGCGUAGCCGACCUGAGAGGGUGACCGGCCACACUGGAACUGAGACACGGUCCAGACUCCUACGGGAGGCAGCAGUAGGGAAUCUUCCGCAAUGGGCGAAAGCCUGACGGAGCAACGCCGCGUGAGUGAUGAAGGUCUUCGGAUCGUAAAACUCUGUUAUUAGGGAAGAACAAAUGUGUAAGUAACUAUGCACGUCUUGACGGUACCUAAUCAGAAAGCCACGGCUAACUACGUG
Molecule: ribosomal RNA, 497 nt
Filed under: uncultured bacterium
Lineage: Bacteria
Description: partial 16S ribosomal RNA
Rfam family: Bacterial small subunit ribosomal RNA
Source: RNAcentral